RNAcentral lists this small RNA (98 nucleotides) under Salmonella enterica. Its description in RNAcentral is "partial RtT sRNA". It matches the Rfam family "RtT RNA", at positions 1 to 94 of the family's 130-position model. Rfam says of the family: This family represents a bacterial cis-regulatory element known as RtT RNA. The exact function of RtT is unknown although it is thought that it may be involved in changing the cellular response in relation to amino acid starvation. RNAcentral also lists the same sequence under 3 other names. Lineage: Bacteria; Pseudomonadati; Pseudomonadota; Gammaproteobacteria; Enterobacterales; Enterobacteriaceae. The record is from RNAcentral.
UGCAUCUGAAGCCUGACGAGGAUGAGAACCUCCGGGGGCAAGAGGUUCGACUCGAGCGCAGCGAGAGAACGUUGCGUCAGCAACGGCCCGCAGGGCGA